This 972-nucleotide ribosomal RNA is filed under the name Chloroflexota bacterium. RNAcentral describes it as "Chloroflexi bacterium partial 23S ribosomal RNA". It matches the Rfam family "Bacterial large subunit ribosomal RNA", at positions 4 to 950 of the family's 2925-position model. Lineage: Bacteria; Bacillati; Chloroflexota. The record is from RNAcentral.
CAAGCUCGACAGAGAACCGGGUGGAUGCCUUGGCGCUGAAGGCCGAUGAAGGACGCGGAGACCGGCGAAACGUUCCGGGGGAGCUGCAUGCAAGCCAUGAGCCCGGAGAGUCCGAAUGGGGCAACCCCUCCAGAGUGAUGUCUGGAGACCGCCUGCUGAACACAUAGGCAGGAGGGAGGCAAGUGGGCGAACUGAAACAUCUCAGUAGCCUGACGAGAAAAAAUCAACCGAGAUUCCCCAAGUAGUGGCGAGCGAACGGGGAGGAGCCCAAACCAUGCCAUCUUCGGAUGGGGUGGGGUUGUAGGACCAGCAGCACGAUCACGACGGAUGUACGCCAACAGGCUGGAACGCCUGGCCAGAGACGGUGAGAGCCCGGUUGCGAGUCCAUCGGUGUGAUCCGACUGGUAUCCUGAGUACCACGAACCCCGGUGAGUUUGUGGGAAGCUGGGGGGACCACCCUCCAAGGCUCAAUACCUUCAGCGACCGAUAGUGAACUAGUACCGUGAGGGAAAGGUGAAAAGUACCCCGCAAGGGGGAUGAAAGAGACCCUGAACCCCGGUUCUCACCAGCCGUCAGAGGCCACUCUCGCACUGCGCGAGCAAGGGCUGAUGGCGUGCCUUUUGUAGAAUGAUCCGGCGAGUGCAUGCGCGUCGCUAGGGUUAACCAGCGUUAAAGCUGGGGAGCCAGAGGGCCACCGAGUCCCAAGCGGGCGACAAGGUGGCGCGCAUGCGACCCGAAACCACGUGAGCUAUCCAUGGCCAGAGUGAAGCGGCUGUGACAGGCCGUCGAGGCUCGCACUCACCAGUGUUGCAAAACUGGGGGAUGAGCUGUGGAUAGGGGUGAAAUGCCAAUCGAACGUGGAGAUAGCUGGUUCUCCCCGAAAUGCAUUGAGGUGCAGCCACGCACAAGGACUAUCCUGGAGGUAGAGCACUGGAUGGGCUCGGGGCCAAGUGCUGGUUACCAACCCCAACC